RNAcentral lists this ribosomal RNA (485 nucleotides) under uncultured beta proteobacterium. RNAcentral describes it as "bacterial SSU rRNA". It matches the Rfam family "Bacterial small subunit ribosomal RNA", at positions 29 to 508 of the family's 1533-position model. The record is from RNAcentral. Lineage: Bacteria; Pseudomonadati; Pseudomonadota; Betaproteobacteria.
AUUGAACGCUGGCGGAAUGCUUUACACAUGCAAGUCGAACGGCAGCACGGGGGCAACCCUGGUGGCGAGUGGCGAACGGGUGAGUAAUGUAUCGGAACGUACCCAGUCGUGGGGGAUAACUAUCCGAAAGGAUAGCUAAUACCGCAUACGUCCUGAGGGAGAAAGCGGGGGAUCGCAAGACCUCGCGCGAUUGGAGCGGCCGAUAUCGGAUUAGCUAGUUGGUGAGGUAAGGGCUCACCAAGGCGACGAUCCGUAGCGGGUCUGAGAGGACGACCCGCCACACUGGAACUGAGACACGGUCCAGACUCCUACGGGGGGCAGCAGUGGGGAAUUUUGGACAAUGGGGGAAACCCUGAUCCAGCCAUUCCGCGUGAGUGAAGAAGGCCUUCGGGUUGUAAAGCUCUUUCAGCAGGAACGAAACGGUCGGCUUUAAUAAAGUCGGCUAAUGACGGUACCUGCAGAAGAAGCACCGGCUAACUACGUGC